RNAcentral lists this ribosomal RNA (253 nucleotides) under uncultured bacterium. RNAcentral describes it as "partial 16S ribosomal RNA". It matches the Rfam family "Bacterial small subunit ribosomal RNA", at positions 524 to 776 of the family's 1533-position model. The record is from RNAcentral.
UACGUAGGUGGCAAGCGUUAUCCGGAUUUACUGGGUGUAAAGGGGGCGCAGACGGCGAUGCAAGCCAGGAGUGAAAGCCCGGGGCCCAACCCCGGGACUGCUCUUGGAACUGCGUGGCUGGAGUGCAGGAGGGGCAGGCGGAAUUCCUGGUGUAGCGGUGAAAUGCGUAGAUAUCAGGAGGAACACCGGUGGCGAAGGCGGCCUGCUGGACUGCAACUGACGUUGAGGCCCGAAAGCGUGGGGAGCAAAUAGG